AACGAACGCUGGCGGCAUGCCUAACACAUGCAAGUCGAACGAGACCUUCGGGUCUAGUGGCGCACGGGUGCGUAACGCGUGGGAACCUGCCCUUAGGUUCGGAAUAACUCCCCGAAAGGGGUGCUAAUACCGGAUAAUGUCUUCGGACCAAAGAUUUAUCGCCUUUGGAUGGGCCCGCGUUGGAUUAGCUAGUUGGUAGGGUAAAAGCCUACCAAGGCGACGAUCCAUAGCUGGUCUGAGAGGAUGAUCAGCCACACUGGGACUGAGACACGGCCCAGACUCCUGCGGGAGGCAGCAGUGGGGAAUACUGGACAAUGGGCGAGAGCCUGAUCCAGCAAUGCCGCGUGAGUGAUGAAGGCCUUAGGGUUGUAAAGCUCUUUUACCCGGGAUGAUAAUGACAGUACCGGGAGAAUAAGCUCCGGCUAACUCCGUG
RNAcentral lists this ribosomal RNA (433 nucleotides) under uncultured bacterium. Its description in RNAcentral is "partial 16S ribosomal RNA". It matches the Rfam family "Bacterial small subunit ribosomal RNA", at positions 29 to 507 of the family's 1533-position model. The record is from RNAcentral.